This 465-nucleotide ribosomal RNA is filed under the name uncultured bacterium. RNAcentral's name for it is "partial 16S ribosomal RNA". It matches the Rfam family "Bacterial small subunit ribosomal RNA", at positions 338 to 795 of the family's 1533-position model. The record is from RNAcentral.
CCUACGGGUGGCAGCAGUAGGGAAUCUUCCACAAUGGACGAAAGUCUGAUGGAGCGACGCCGCGUGAGUGAAGAAGGGUUUCGGCUCGUAAAGCUCUGUUGGUAGGGAAGAAAGAUAGAGUUAGUAACUGGCCUUUAUUUGACGGUAAUUACUUAGACAGUCCCGGCUAACUACGUGCCAGCAGCCGCGGUAAUACGGAGGUGGCAAGCGUUUUCCGGAUUUAGUGGGCGUAAAGGGAGUGCAGGCGGUUCAGGAAGUCUGACGUGAAAGCCGUCGGCUCAACCGGGGAAUUGCAUUAGAAACUGUUGAACUGGAGUGCAGGAGAGGAGAGUGGAACUCCAUGUGUAGCGGUGGAAUGCGUAGAUAUAUGGAAGAACACCAGUGGCGAAGGCGGCUCGCUGGACUGCAACUGACGCUGAGGCUCGAAAGCGUGGGUAGCGAACAGGAUUAGAUACCCUGGUAGUC